This 453-nucleotide ribosomal RNA is filed under the name uncultured Paraprevotella sp. Its description in RNAcentral is "partial 16S ribosomal RNA". It matches the Rfam family "Bacterial small subunit ribosomal RNA", at positions 341 to 792 of the family's 1533-position model. Lineage: Bacteria; Pseudomonadati; Bacteroidota; Bacteroidia; Bacteroidales; Prevotellaceae. The record is from RNAcentral.
ACGGGAGGCAGCAGUGAGGAAUAUUGGUCAAUGGGCGCGAGCCUGAACCAGCCAAGUAGCGUGAGGGAUGACUGCCCUAUGGGUUGUAAACCUCUUUUGUUCGGGAAUAAAGUGCGGGACGUGUCCCGCUUUGCAUGUACCGUUCGAAUAAGCAUCGGCUAAUUCCGUGCCAGCAGCCGCGGUAAUACGGAAGAUGCGAGCGUUAUCCGGAUUUAUUGGGUUUAAAGGGAGCGUAGGCGGCCUUUUAAGUCAGCGGUCAAAUGUCAGCGCCCAACGCUGGCCUGCCGUUGAUACUGUUAGGCUUGAAUACACACAAGGAAGGUGGAAUUCGUCGUGUAGCGGUGAAAUGCUUAGAUAUGACGAAGAACUCCGAUUGCGAAGGCAGCCUCCUGGAGUGCGAUUGACGCUGAGGCUCGAAAGCGCGGGUAUCAAACAGGAUUAGAUACCCUGGUA